This is a long non-coding RNA of Haemorhous mexicanus (house finch), 1703 nucleotides long. RefSeq lists it as uncharacterized. The record is from RefSeq and is a predicted model, not a curated record. The transcript is spliced from 4 exons. Lineage: Eukaryota; Metazoa; Chordata; Aves; Passeriformes; Fringillidae.
CCUUCCCGCCCGUGUUGUCAAUGACACCGCUGCAAGGAGGAAACAAAGUGUCUGAGGGGAGAAACGCCACAAAAGCCUUCAAAAAACCCCUUCUACAGUGCAAGAGCACAAUGUCUUUCCUUGGAGAUCUCCCUGAAGAAGUUUCCUGCUAGGCUGCUGAAGCUGAAAGUGGCAGAGGUUUCUCAGAAGCCACUGAACUGAAUCUGGGGGAUAUGAAAAGUGGCUCAACACAGUCACUGUGUCUUUCUGAAAAACGAUGGGCAGUGCAGUGGGGGUGACCCCCCAGGCUGUAAAAGUCAGAUCAGCAAGAGCAGCCUCAUUUCCAUGCAGCCUCUUUGUUCCUGUGCUUCAUGUCCUAAAGAUUCUUCAACCAAGCCCAGGAGGACAAAAUUUUCAAGUGUUGAAGAUGCACUGCAGAAGAGGCCUCAGUCACUGAAAAAUGAGCCCAAAGAGGAAAGGCAGGCCAAGGGAACCCAGCUAAGUCCUGCUGGAGAGGCAGAGAAGAUGGCGAGAGAGAUGAGGGUGAGCUGGCCGCAGAAGGAGGGAAUGGGCUCUGUUCUCUGCUGGCAGGGCUCCUGCAGAGGAUGUGGUGGCAACCCUCAGCACUAAAUGUAGAGCUGCCCCAGGACAGACUUAGGUGCAGAAUGUUUGCAGAGCCCAGAGCAAAUACUUGGGUAGCUGGCCCAUGAGUGCCCUGCUGCCAGGACUGCCCAAACCUGGCAGCUCCCGGUGUUUGCAGGGGGCAGCUACGCCCACACAGGCUGCAGUCACAGCUGGCCAGCACAGCCACCCCACAGGCGCCUUUGGAGCCUACAGAAUUUCAGUAGAUCCUGACUUGUCCGUGGGCCACAGGGCUGGAAGACAAGUUCAUCAGUUCACGCUCCCGUUGUAUCUGAACAAGCCCCUUCACAUCCCUCUUUUCGCAGCAGCUUGCUUCCCACCGGGCAUCACCCCGAGUCAGCACAAAGCAGUUCCACUCCUGCCCCGCUCACAGCGCUGCCCGCAGCCCCUGCGCUGGGGCUUAGAGCUUCACAAGGGCGGUGCAGGCUCUGGCAAGACAGACAGGCAGAGUUUAAUUUACUGACAGAGAUACAAUCUAAACAGCCACAGAUCUGGGCAUUUCUGCGCCUUUCCGAGCCUCUUGUGUGGCAGCGGGAAGCUGCGCUGCUUGUGCAACAUUUACCCAGGUUUUCCAAGAGGGAAAUGUGCAGCAAAUAAAGGAACUGGGAUGCAAAAGAGUGGCAGCUGCUUUAGGACUGUUAGAGAGGCUCUUUUACGGGCGAAUGCACCGUCAAUUUGUAGUAAGACAUUGUUUUCUAAACAUAGCAUGAAAACUGUUAUCUUGCCUGGCUGGUCAUUAGAAGAGAGAUAAUUAUAGUCUGUGUGCCACAGCCGGGCCCAGAACAGGGGCUGCAUUGUCCCAGGGCCCAGCUGAGCUCCAGCACAGGCUCCCCAGGCAGCGCUGGGACAAGGGGGCUCCUUGUGCCCCGGCAAGUUCAAAAGAGGAAUUGAAGUGCUCUAAGUAGGUGUUAAGCACCUAUUUCUCUCUCCGACUCUGGACUUAAAAAUCUACUCCACAAGGGAAAAAUGUGGAGCGCAGAUCUUCCGACUACUGUAGCUGCAUCCUCCCUGCUUUCUGUACAAUACUGCCAUGAUUAUUAUUUUUCUUUUAUUAAAAGAAGAAAUAAACCCCCAAACCAUCA